ACGUAGGGAGCGAGCGUUGUCCGGAAUUACUGGGUGUAAAGGGAGCGCAGGCGGGAUGGCAAGUCAGAUGUGAAAACUAUGGGCUCAACCCAUAGACUGCAUUUGAAACUGUUGUUCUUGAGUGAGGUAGAGGUAAGCGGAAUUCCUGGUGUAGCGGUGAAAUGCGUAGAGAUCAGGAGGAACAUCGGUGGCGAAGGCGGCUUACUGGGCCUUUACUGACGCUGAGGCUCGAAAGCGUGGGGAGCAAACAG
Molecule: ribosomal RNA, 251 nt
Filed under: uncultured bacterium
Lineage: Bacteria
Description: partial 16S ribosomal RNA
Rfam family: Bacterial small subunit ribosomal RNA
Source: RNAcentral